CACGCUGUAAACGAUGGGUACUAGGUUUAGUGGGUCUUGACCCCCGCUGAACCGUAGCUAACGCGCUAAGUACCCCGCCUGGGAAGUACGGUCGCAAGAUUAAAACUCAAAGGAAUUGACGGGGGCCCGCACAAGCGGUGGAUCAUGUGGUUUAAUUCGAAGCAACGCGAAAAACCUUACCUGGGUUUGACAUCAUACUGACAUCCGUAGAGAUACGGCUUCUGUAGCAAUACAGCAGUAUGACCGGUGC
RNAcentral lists this ribosomal RNA (250 nucleotides) under uncultured bacterium. Its description in RNAcentral is "partial 16S ribosomal RNA". It matches the Rfam family "Bacterial small subunit ribosomal RNA", at positions 796 to 1041 of the family's 1533-position model. The record is from RNAcentral.